Molecule: ribosomal RNA, 806 nt
Filed under: Treponema sp. UBA4326
Lineage: Bacteria; Pseudomonadati; Spirochaetota; Spirochaetia; Treponematales; Treponemataceae
Description: bacterial SSU rRNA
Rfam family: Bacterial small subunit ribosomal RNA
Source: RNAcentral
AGAGUUUGAUCCUGGCUCAGAACGAACGCUGGCGGCGCGUCUUAAGCAUGCAAGUCGGGCGGCAAGGCAGUGCUUGCACUGCCCCAGAGCGGCGGACUGGUGAGUAACGCGUGGGUGACGCACCCCCCGGGCGGGGAUAGCCUGUGGAAACACAGGGUAAUACCGGAUACGGUCCCGUAGGCUGGAGCUACGGGAGGAAAGGAGCUUCGGCUCCGCCGGGGGAGCGGCCUGCGGCCCAUCAGCUUGUUGGCGGGGUAAAGGCCCACCAAGGCUACGACGGGUACCCGGCCUGAGAGGGCGACCGGGCACAUUGGGACUGAGAUACGGCCCAGACUCCUACGGGAGGCAGCAGCUAAGAAUAUUCCGCAAUGGACGAAAGUCUGACGGAGCGACGCCGCGUGGACGAUGAAGGCCGGAAGGUUGUAAAGUCCUUUUGGGGUCGAGGAAGGCCUCUGGAAGAGAAUGUCCGGAGGGUGACGGUAGACCGUGAAUAAGCACCGGCUAAUUACGUGCCAGCAGCCGCGGUAACACGUAAGGUGCAAGCGUUGUUCGGAUUCAUUGGGCGUAAAGGGCAUGUAGGCGGCUCAGCAAGCCUGGGGUGAAAUUGCGCGGCCUAACCGCGUAGCUGCCCCGGGAACUGCAGGGCUGGAGUCACUGAAGGGGAGCCGGAAUUCCAGGUGUAGGGGUGAAAUCUGUAGAUAUCUGGAAGAACACCGAUGGCGAAGGCAGGCUCCUGGCGGAUGACUGACGCUGAGGUGCGAAGGUGCGGGGAGCGAACAGGAUUAGAUACCCUGGUAGUCCGCACA